GACGAACGCUGGCGGCGUGCUUAACACAUGCAAGUCGAACGGUGAAGCGCCUUCCUUUUUGGUGGGUGUGGAUGAGUGGCGAACGGGUGAGUAACACGUGAGUAACCUGCCCCCUUCUUCUGGAUAACCGCAUGAAAGUGUGGCUAAUACGGGAUAUUCUGGGUCUGUCGCAUGAGGGGUCUGGGAAAGAUAUUGUUUCGGUGGGGGAUGGGCUCGCGGCCUAUCAGCUUGUUGGUGGGGGGAUGGCCUACCAAGGCGGUGACGGGUAGCCGGCCUGAGAGGGUGGACGGUCACACUGGGACUGAGACACGGCCCAGACUCCGACGGGAGGCAGCAGUGGGGAAUAGUGCACAAUGGGCGCAAGCCUGAUGCAGCGACGCCGCGUGAGGGAUGGAGGCCUUCGGGUUGUGAACCUCUUUCGCCAGUGAAGCAGGCCUGCCUCGUUUGUGGGUGGGUUGACGGUAGCUGGAUAAGAAGCGCCGGCUAACUACGUG
RNAcentral lists this ribosomal RNA (494 nucleotides) under uncultured bacterium. Its description in RNAcentral is "partial 16S ribosomal RNA". It matches the Rfam family "Bacterial small subunit ribosomal RNA", at positions 28 to 507 of the family's 1533-position model. The record is from RNAcentral.